UCUUUAAUUUGCUUCCCUCUAUUCACAAUUCUCACGUAAAGUACCAUUUUCCCCUUUUUCUCAAUUUUCCCCAUUCUCACCUUAGUUGAUUAUAGAGUACCAUUUUCCCCAUUUUCUCCAUUUUCCUCAUCUUCUCAGAUUGUCAAAUUUUCACAGUAGAUGAGAAGGAGUACGUUUUUGUCGUAAUUGUUGCAUCCGCUUUAAAACCCAGACCUCAAAACCACCAACAAUGGCGUCGGCUAAUCCAGCAAUGGCGCAACCACCGCCUGCACCACCACCGCGCUCAUACACCGACCUCGACUGCGACCCAAUAUAAUCUACGAGUUAACCCCCUUAUGGUUCAAAAACGACCUCUUUCUCCCUCCUUUCGACUUCGAACCCUACAUCUCUAACCUCCAAACCCAGUCCUCUCUCGCUGCACUCAAUUAAUCUCAAGUUACUGAAAGAAAUACGAGGUAUCAAACUUCAGCUGUUUGAUGUAAUGGUGGCUGCUCUGUUUUUGGGAAGAAGAUGAAGGACGAAGAAGAAGCAGCUGCCUUUGAAGGGUUUAGGGUCUUAGUUGGGCAUUUUUUAAUUUCAGAUUAGGAAAUUUUUUUGGUAUAUAUUGGGCUAACACUUUGUAAUUAAUAUGGUGGACUAACUUUUGAAGGAAGAAGGUUUAAGUUUUUGUGAACAUGAAAACAACAUUGAAUGCUUCUAAUGGAGGCUGUAUUUAAAUGCCUCAUAAAUAUGUAUUGCAAUGACUAUUUAAAUGCUUCAAUGUUUGAAUGUUUGAUGUUUUGUUUUUAAAAUUUUGGAGGGAAUUGAAAAUUCCCAAAAUUUCAGCCAAAAGAAAAUUUUAGGAAAAAUUUGGGGGGAAAAUUCAGCCAACAUUCCCACUACUUUCCCAAGUGGUGGGCCAAACUUUCUCUCUCCACACACUUUAAUCAUCUUUAAUUAACCCCACUACUACAUGCCCCUUAACU
Long non-coding RNA from Chenopodium quinoa (quinoa), 965 nucleotides. RefSeq lists it as uncharacterized. The transcript is spliced from 3 exons. NCBI's taxonomy places the organism in Eukaryota, Viridiplantae, Streptophyta, Magnoliopsida, Caryophyllales, Amaranthaceae. The record is from RefSeq and is a predicted model, not a curated record.